Molecule: long non-coding RNA, 369 nt
Organism: Astatotilapia calliptera (eastern happy)
Lineage: Eukaryota; Metazoa; Chordata; Actinopteri; Cichliformes; Cichlidae
Source: Ensembl
ACAUGAUAUGCAGAAAGGGUGUAUUAAAUUGUUCAUAUCAUGUUCAGGUGAAGUAAGUCAAUAAGAUAGCAACGUUAAAUCUCGUGAAACCACGCGUGAUUUCAUCUCGCGGGCUUUGGAUCGUGGUUUAAAAAAUGCAUCCAUCUCAGUCAAGUUGAGCAGCCAACUCUACGUUUUUUGGAGUCAGCUGAUGGAUUGUGGGUUCAAGGUGUUAUGAUGAAAUGCAGCAUUCCAGUGCAUCCCAACCAUGCCUUUACAGUCAAGGUUUCUGACGGAGCUGAGUUUCUCUCUGACAGUCUGCUGAAAGUGUUUGCAAAGUAAUCGGGGGAACAGGGCACAAAGCUAAAGGAUGUAGCUGCCAUGAUGACA